Molecule: long non-coding RNA, 454 nt
Filed under: Phoenix dactylifera (date palm)
Lineage: Eukaryota; Viridiplantae; Streptophyta; Magnoliopsida; Arecales; Arecaceae
Description: long non-coding RNA (PDAC_LNC015958)
Source: RNAcentral
ACAAUCGGUUGGUUCUAGUCGGUGAGCCUGUGAAAACCGACCGAGUUCGUUGUUAUCUCGCAAAACAACAAGUUGGGUUGUGAGCUUGUAAAACAACCGGCUGUAAUUUGUAGGAUUAUAGUGAAAUUCCCAAGAGGUCUUGGGGAGUGGAUGUAGGUGCUGGGGUGCACCGAACCACUAUAUGUUUGUUGUGUUUGUGAUGCUUUUUGUCAUUGUCUAACUUGCUUACUUAGAUAUAUUGCUUGCUUAACUCUUAUCUACGCAUCCCUUAGUUGCAAGCAUACUCAAUUUACUUAAUCAAGUCCCAUUCAAUAAAUCAUACUGUUGCUAAGUUUAAAUUCCACUAUGCAUCUAUACAACUUAGCAUAAUUAAUUGAAAAGUCUUAGAAGUAGUUUAAAAGUUUUAAAAGACCCAAUUCACCCCCCCUCUUGGGUUGUAUCUACUGGGCAACAA